This is an RNA transcript of Callithrix jacchus (white-tufted-ear marmoset), 4170 nucleotides long. It is a transcript of the gene named coiled-coil domain containing 136, with no coding region annotated. NCBI's taxonomy places the organism in Eukaryota, Metazoa, Chordata, Mammalia, Primates, Cebidae. The record is from RefSeq and is a predicted model, not a curated record.
CCCCCUCGCCCGCCCUCCCUCCUCCCUGCGCACCCGGCUCCCGGUCCCCGGGCUCGCGGCUGCGGCUUCUGCUCUGGGAAGCUGCCGCGGCGGCGGGAGCGGUCAUGGAGGCGGGCGCCGGAACCAGCGCGGGAGCCGCGGGCUGGAGCUGCCAGGGCCCAGGACCCACAGUGACCACUCUAGGCUCCUAUGAGGCUUCGGAGGGCUGUGAGAGGAAGAAGGGCCAACGCUGGGGGUCCCUGGAACGACGGGGGAUGCAAGCUAUGGAGGGGGAGGUGUUACUCCCAGCUCUCUAUGAGGAGGAAGAGGAAGAGGAGGAAGAAGAGGUGGAAGAAGAAGAAGAACAAGUGCAGAAAGGUGGCAGUGUUGGCUCCCUGUCAGUCAACAAGCACCGGGGCCUGAGCCUCACAGAGACAGAGCUGGAGGAGCUGCGGGCUCAGGUGCUGCAGCUGGUGGCAGAGCUGGAGGAGACCCGGGAACUGGCAGGGCAGCAUGAGGAUGACUCCCUGGAGCUACAGGGGCUCCUGGAGGAUGAACGGCUGGCCAGCGCCCAGCAGGCGGAGGUGUUCACCAAGCAGAUCCAGCAGCUCCAAGGUGAGCUGCGUUCUCUGCGGGAGGAGAUUUCCCUGUUAGAGCAUGAGAAAGAAAGUGAACUUAAGGAAAUAGAACAGGAACUACAUUUGGCCCAGGCUGAGAUCCAGAAUUUGCGGCAAGCAGCGGAGGAUUCUGCAACUGAACAUGAGAGUGACAUAGCAUCCCUUCAGGAGGAUCUCUGCCGGCUGCAGAAUGAACUUGAAGACAUGGAACGCAUUCGGGGAGAUUACGAGAUGGAGAUUGCCUCCCUCCGUGCAGAGAUGGAAAUGAAGAGCUCUGAAACAUCCAAUAGUUUAAGUCUCUCAGAUUUCUCUGGGUUGCAAGAAGAACUUGAGCAGCUGCGGGAACGCUACCAUUUCCUGAAUGAGGAGUACCGGGCCCUGCAGCAGAGCAACAGUAGCCUCACGGGGCAGCUUGCGGAUCUGGAGAGCGAGAGGACACAAAGAGCAACGGAGAGAUGGCUGGAGUCACAACCACUAAGGAGUAUGACGUCAGUAGAGUCCCAGACUUCAGAAAUGGAUUUCCUAGAGCCUGAUCCUGAGAUGCAGUUGUUACGGCAGCAGCUAUGGGAUGCUGAAGAGCAGAUGCAUGACAUGAAGGAGAAGUGUCAGGAGUUGUGUUGUGAGUUGCAAGAGCUACAGCAUCAUCGCCAGGUCAGUGAGGAGGAGCAGAGGAGGCUGCAGAGGGAGCUCAAGUGUGCUCAGAAUGAGGUGCUUCGGUUCCAGACCUCCCACAGUGUCACCCAGAACGAGGAGCUGAAGUCCAGACUCUGUACCCUGCAGAAAAAAUAUGAUACUAGCCAGGAUGAGCAGAAUGAGCUCUUGAAAGCACAGCUACAACUUCAGGCUGAGCUCCGGCAGCUCAAAGUCAUGAAAUCCACACUUGUAGAAAACCAGAGUGAGAAGGAGUUACUGUGCCGGCUGCAGAAGCUGCAGCUCCAGCACCAGAAUGUCACAUUUGAGAAGGAAAAGCUGCUGGAACGGCAGCAGCAGCUGCAGGAGGAGCUGCAGUGCCAUGAGGCAGAGCUGCAGCACCUCAGGGAUAUGGCGGCCUCCUUCAAAGACAGCAAGGAGAAGAACACAAAGACCCACGCCCAGUUUCAGGAGAUGAAGCAGCUGUACCAGGCCAGCAAGGACGAGCUGGAGCGGCAGAAGCACAUGUAUGACCAGCUGGAGCAGGACCUCCUGCUCUGCCGGCUGGAGCUGAAAGAGCUCAAGGCCUCCCAGCCCAUUCCAGAGGACAAAGGAAAGUGUACUAAUAAGUGUGACACACUGCUGUCCAGACUGACAGAAUUGCAGGAAAAGUACAAGGCCAGCCAGAAGGAGAUCGGGCAGCUACAGAUGGAGCAGUGUGAGCUCCUGGAGGAUCAGAGGAGGUUGCAGGAGGAGCAGGGCCAGCUGCAGGAAGAGCUGCACAGGCUCACACUGCCACUGCCCAAGAGUGGCCUCUUACUCAAGAGUCAGGAGCUACUCACCAAGUUAGAAGACCUGUGGGAACUGCAGCUGCUCUACCAAGGCAUGCAGGAGGAACAGAAGAAGCUGAUACAGAACCAAGACUUCGUAUUGAAAGAACAAUUAGAGCUAUAUGAAGAGCUGCAACAUUUCAAAGAAUCUCAUUUCCAGGAAGUGUUGGAGAAUCCAGAUGAUUCCAAAUUGGCUAAGUCCUCAAAAUGUGAUCGAAACAAGCAAUCCAAAUUGCUUAUGGAGCAGAUGCAGACCCUGCAGGUGCUGUAUGAAGCCAGUCAGGCGGAGCAGGAGCUCUUGCAGCAAGAGCAACGGAGGCUCCUAGAGGAGCGGAAGAGGCUGCAGACGGACUUGCAGCUCUGCCUCGAAGAAAUGCAACUGCUUCAAGUCCAGUCCCCUUCUAUAAAAAUGAGCCUUGAGUCCUACAGAAAGAGCUAUGGUAGCAGCAUGCCCCCCAGCAAUGAGAACUGUCACGAUAGCCAUAGCACAAUUGAUGACAAUGAGAGCUAUUGCAAGAGUUAUACCAGCACCCAGACCAGAGACGAGAGCCUCCUCAAGAGCUAUGACAGCAGCACCAGUGCCAGUGAGACCUAUGAAAAGAGUUAUUGCACCACCAGCAACAGCAGCAUUACCUAUGAGAAGAGUUACGGCAGCACCAGUAGCUUUGACACCUUUCACAAGAGUUCUGUCAGCAGCUGCACUGACGAUGAACCUGCUGAGCCUGAAGACACAGAGCACUUUGAGGAAAUGGUUGCGAAGGUGCUGAUCAAGCUGCAGGCAGUGCAGGCCAUGUACCAGAUAAGCCAGGAGGAGCACAGCCAGCUGCAAGAGCAGAUGGAAAAGUUACUGGCCAAGCAGAAAGACCUGAAGGAAGAGAUGGAUGCCUGUGAAAAGGAGUUUAAGGAGUGCAUGGAAGGCCUUGAAAAGCCUGUGGCCCCCCAGAACGACCAGAAUGAGAUCAAAGACCUGCAGACCAAGCUGCGGGAGCUGCAGCUGCAAUACCAGGCUAGCAUGGAUGAGCAGGGGCGGCUUCUGGCAGUGCAGGAGCAGCUGGAGGGGCAGCUGCAGUGCUGCCAGGAGGAGCUCCGCCAGCUCAGGGAGAAGAGACCCUCCACUUUCAAAGCCCAGGGGAAGAAUGCUAAUAAGAACAUGAACAAGAAUGCCAAUGGGGUUAAAACUAAAAAGGUGACCAAGCUGUGCUCAGAUACUUCCAAGAGUGACUUUGAGACCAGAAAGAGUCUGGAGGUGGUGCUGUACUACAAGGCCAGCCAGAUGAAAUUAGAUGGACUAGCAAAAGAGGAGGAAAAGAGAGAGGAGAUGGAGGAGGAAAAAGAGAAGGAGGUGAAAGAGGAAACAAAGGAGCCAUGUGGGGAUGAGCUAGCAGCUGAGCCAGAAGAUCCUGGGGAAGCUAAAUCCACAGAAGAUCAGGAGGAAAAUAAAGAGGACAAUGAAGACGAGGAAGAUGACAUCAACUCUUCCCUUGAAAGUCCCAAAGAAAACAAUCCCCUCAGACUUUCUGAGAGCAAAAAGCGUCACAAGAAGGGUCUAGGUGCAGAUACCUCGUGCCUAACAAGAUAUGAGAGGUCUAUGACAAGACAGAAAGAAAACUGGACUCACCGCCUGACUUGGACCUGGCUGCUGCUUAACCCAUUCAAUUUUGCAAUUCCUGCAGACUGCUGGCGGAAAGAACCAAGGCCCAGGCAGCAGAAAAGACAUGCAACUGCUCUAGCUUACCUGUUUUUUAACCUCUUGAUUCCUUUCUCUUUUCCCUUUGUUUUCUCAUCUUCAUUAUCUGUUGGAUCCAUGUGUUUAUGUCUCACAUCUCCUGGUCUCUCCUCGUGCUUCUUUCUCAUUUUGGUUUGUUGCAGUCAUCCCCUACCCCCGAUCCCCCCAUCUUCUCCUUGCCUCUUGUAGGCCUGGUGGUCAUCUCGGCUUUGCUCUGGUGCUGGUGGGCUGAGACGUCGUCCUAAUGCAGAACAUGUUUGGGUUGUGGAAGCCUAUGGUAUUCUUGGCUAUUGCAGCUGUGGCUCUGUAUGUGUUACCCAACAUGCGACAGCAGGAGUCAGAGUUCUGCCUCAUGGAGUGAUGGCAGUCCUUGGCCAGCGCAAGGGCA